Molecule: RNA transcript, 1269 nt
Organism: Camellia sinensis
Lineage: Eukaryota; Viridiplantae; Streptophyta; Magnoliopsida; Ericales; Theaceae
Source: RefSeq, a predicted model, not a curated record
CUGUACGAAAAAAAAAAAAUCAAAAAAAAUUACACAAAACCACAUGUCCUUCACAUCCGAAACAAAACAAGCUCACAGAUGAUUAAAACAAAACAGCACAACUUCUUCUCUCUCUAGGGUUUGAGCAAAAAAACAAAAACAAUAAAGGAGAGAGAAAGAGGGUUAUGGAGGUCAUUGCCGAGUCGGAUAAGGAUCAGCUUCGCGUGAAGAAGGAGGCCUUGGAGGCUGUGCUCCUGCAGUGCCAGAGAGCUCUCGAAUUGCUCACUAACACCGGCUUUGUCGACGACGCCGACACCGAUGCUGCGGCGGCGGACGACGGCGAUGGUUCGUCGUCGCCGUGUCGGGAUAAGGAGACCGAUGAGUUGUGCCACCUCCUUAAAUCUAGAGUUGAAUGCCCUGAUUUCCUAAAAAAGCUCGAGAGUGCCCAGGCUUUGGUUCCACAAAAUGUGGCUGAAGAAGGGAGUUCUUGGGACAUGGUCAGUGAAAAUGAUCUAUGGGAAGGUGGUAGUUCCGUGAUGGACCAAGAGGACUAUGUUUUAGUUAGGCAAGAAGAUAUAGCAGAGGGUAUUGCAUGUUUCAUGGCCGCAUAUCUGUUAUCCCUUAAACAGACCAAGGAUUUCACCCCUAAUCAACUCCAGGACGCCCUGUGCAAGACAUUCUCUGUGAAAAAGAAAAAGGGUAAGCUUCGGAAGGCAUGGGAUGGAAGCAAAGUCAUCUAUAAUGUAGCAUCUUGGGGAGCGACAGCCAUUGGGACUGAAUUGAGUAACAAGUCUAACCUUGACCCAACUUGCUGUUGGUAAUUAGAGGUGUCUCAUAAUGGAAAAGGUGCUAAGCUGCUAAAUACAAGUCCGUUGGUUGAGAUGCUGGCUCGUAGACCUUAGAAAAUGGUUCAUUAUUGACCUACCAAAACCGUAGGAAAUAUUGCUGCUGUGGUUUUCCUUUCACUAGGAUUUACCAAAACCCCACGCUCCUUAGUGCCGCCUCAACAGCCUUUUGGACUUCGUGUCAAGUUAUCUCGAAGCUUUUCUAACUUGCUUGUUGAAGUUCUGAUGCUUGGGGACUCUUCAGUGUUGUAUUUGUGUUUGGCAUGGUGUUCCAUAUAAUUUUGUAACCUAAUUACCAUUCUUAUUGUGCUACGGCUCCAUUGAUUGCUCUGUCAUAAUUCAAGCUUGUAAAUAUUCGUCAAUUUUUUUUCUUGGUCUGGAAAUAUUCUUCAGUUAAAGCAUUUCUAUGUGCAGUUACAGAUCCAGUUGGAUCAUCUUAGUGCAA